This 653-nucleotide ribosomal RNA is filed under the name uncultured archaeon. Its description in RNAcentral is "bacterial SSU rRNA". It matches the Rfam family "Archaeal small subunit ribosomal RNA", at positions 55 to 704 of the family's 1478-position model. The record is from RNAcentral.
UAGUCGGACGAGUUUAGACCCGUGGCGGACAGCUCAGUAACACGUGGCCAAACUACCCUGNUGGACGGGGAUAAUCUCGGGAAACUGAGGCUAAUCCUCGAUAAGGCUUCCAUCCUGGAGUGGAGGAAGUCCGAAAGUUGCGCUGCGGCACCACAGGAUGUGGCUGCGGCCGAUCAGGUAGACGGUGGGGUAACGGCCCACCGUGCCAGUAAUCGGUACGGGUGAUGAGAGUCAGAGCCCGGAGACGGUAUCUGAGACAAGAUACCGGGCCCUACGGGGCGCAGCAGGCGCGAAACCUUUACACUGCACGACAGUGCGAUAGGGGGAUUCCGAGUGCGAGGGCAUACAGCCCUCGCUUUUCUGGACCGUAAGGAGGUCCAAGAAUAAGGGCUGGGCAAGACCGGUGCCAGCCGCCGCGGUAAUACCGGCAGCCCGAGUGAUGGCCGAUAUCAUUGGGCCUAAAGCGUCCGUAGCUGGCCAGACAAGUCCGUUGGGAAAUCCACGCGCUCAACGCGUGGGCGUCCAGCGGAAACUGCCUGGCUUGGGGCCGGAGGACUCGAGGGGUACGUCCGGGGUAGGAGUGAAAUCCCGUAAUCCUGGACGGACCACCGGUGGCGAAAGCGCCUCNAGAGGACGGAGCCGACAGUGAGGGA